RNAcentral lists this ribosomal RNA (474 nucleotides) under Ligilactobacillus salivarius. Its description in RNAcentral is "bacterial SSU rRNA". It matches the Rfam family "Bacterial small subunit ribosomal RNA", at positions 160 to 622 of the family's 1533-position model. The record is from RNAcentral. Lineage: Bacteria; Bacillati; Bacillota; Bacilli; Lactobacillales; Lactobacillaceae.
GUGCUAAUCCGGUAUAUCUCUAAGGAUCGCAGUUCCUUAAAAAAAAGAUGGUUCUGCUAUCGCUUUUAGAUGGCCCCGCGGCGCAUUAACUAGUUGGUGGGGUAACGGCCUACCAAGGCGAUGAUACGUAGCCGAACUGAGAGGUUGAUCGGCCACAUUGGGACUGAGACACGGCCCAAACUCCUACGGGAGGCAGCAGUAGGGAAUCUUCCACAAUGGACGCAAGUCUGAUGGAGCAACGCCGCGUGAGUGAAGAAGGUCUUCGGAUCGUAAAACUCUGUUGUUAGAGAAGAACACGAGUGAGAGUAACUGUUCAUUCGAUGACGGUAUCUAACCAGCAAGUCACGGCUAACUACGUGCCAGCAGCCGCGGUAAUACGUAGGUGGCAAGCGUUGUCCGGAUUUAUUGGGCGUAAAGCGAACGCAGGCGGUCUUUUAAGUCUGAUGUGAAAGCCUUCGGCUUAACCGGAGUAGU